CUCCUUCUAAAGCUAAAUACGACCAUGAGACCGAUAGUAAACAAGUACCGUGUGGGAAAGUUGAAAAGCACUCUGAAUAGAGAGUCAAAUAGUACGUGAAACUGCCGAGGGUGUAAAGCCUGUUGAACUCGAUUAUCCGUAGUUCCUGGCAUCGUGGGUUUUGGCUGUCACGCAGAAGGGGGCCUUCUGUAUGCCUUGACCCUAGCCAGGAACGAGUGCGGACAUCGUGAUCCAUUACGCAAACCAAAUGCGAGCGGCGACUCCGGUUGCUGCGAGCAUAUCCAACAUCAGGUCCCAGAACAUGCGGUCGACCCUCUAGUAGUGGCGCUCAGCUUAAGGCCGGCGUCGCGAACGGGGGAUCGAGGCUCCGGUCUCGAGUUCGGCUAGUUCCGGUGUGCCGUUGGAUGCGUGAUGGGCAUUGAAGUGAACUAGAGAAGUGUGAAGCGCAUGUUUGGGCAUGUUCAAGGGCGAAAGCCUGAGCCGAGCACGACUCCCGAUCUACGAUGUACUAACUAAUCGAGGUACCUACGGGACCCGUCUU
This 541-nucleotide ribosomal RNA is filed under the name Anopheles sinensis. RNAcentral describes it as "eukaryotic LSU rRNA". It matches the Rfam family "Eukaryotic large subunit ribosomal RNA", at positions 304 to 655 of the family's 3401-position model. Lineage: Eukaryota; Metazoa; Arthropoda; Insecta; Diptera; Culicidae. The record is from RNAcentral.